Mus musculus (house mouse) is the source of this 2494-nucleotide long non-coding RNA. RefSeq annotates it as predicted gene, 54174. NCBI's taxonomy places the organism in Eukaryota, Metazoa, Chordata, Mammalia, Rodentia, Muridae. The transcript is spliced from 3 exons. The record is from RefSeq and is a predicted model, not a curated record.
GCAAAAAGACAAGAAAGAAAAGAUGCAAGCUCCAACUGAACAUCCCUCCCUGUUCUGAAACUGGUCACCCAGAUGCAUAAAAGUGUUGCUACAGAAUAUUAAGGGCAAAAAGGAAGAGAAGAGCAAACCGACCUCAGAAACGGCCAACAGGAUAAAAUUCUAAGGAACAAGAUAGAAAUGAAUGAACCUCAGACUAACUAAUGAGGACCACAAGGUGUCUGGCUGGAGGAAUACCAGAAGCCACUGUGGAUGGAGCAGAUGAUCAGACUCUUGGCUUUGAAGACAAAUGACUUGAUGUGGACAAUAUCAAGAGUGCCAAAGAGGGCACAGACUGUGAAUGUGGGGAUGAGCAAUGUCGGAAUUGUCUGUUUAAGAAAACACUAGCCAGGGUCUAAGAGAAGCUCAGUUGGUAAAGCGUAAGUUUUCUUGGAAGUGUGAGAACCUGGCGUUGAGCUCCAGUACAAGGUAAAUGGCCUAGCAUGAUGGUACACAUCUAUAAUCCUAGCACACCGUCCUCAUCAUACCCAAGCAAUGUGCUCUGGGCUCAGGGAGAAAUCCCAUGCCCCAAACUUAGAUAAGUGAAAGUAGAAAUGGUUAUAUAGAACAAAGUAGCCCAGCGCCAGAAAGAUAAACACCGGAUUCCCCUGUCCUGCGUGAACCCAGUUCUGCUUCUUUAGAUCUCUGUCUGCUUAACAGAGAAUACCCGCAGAGGCCAGGAACCUAGAAAAGCUCCAUGGCGGGGGAAGCUAGAAGAAAAGAAGCAAAUACUAAAAGGAGGAAGAGAAUAAGGAGCAGAUAGGUUCAAAUGGAUGGGGAAUAGAAGGGUAGUGUAGAGGAGGGAUUGGAAGGAAUGAACAAUAUAAGGGAUGUAUGAAAAGGCCAUGUAGACACCUACUAUUGUAUAAGUGUGUCACAUGUAUGUAUAUGUACACAUGUAUCUUAGACUAUUAUCUAUAUGUAGUAUAGACUAUUGUGUAAGCUUCAUAAUAUUAUACACACAUAUGUAUGUUUAUAUAUACACAUACAUACAUAGAGAGAGGGUGGAGGAGAGUUAAAGUGAGGUUACCAUACAUGGGAGCUAAUGUUUCUCUCAGAAGCCACAGUUCACCAAGCUGAAAGCCCAAUGACAGAUGUGGAAUACAUCUUUUCAAGUUGGUGGUCAGGGGUCCGCCCCACCCCAAACAAUACAAGAUUUUGGAACCUCAUAUGGGAACCUCAUGUAGGGUGCUGGGGGAAAGAAGUCACCAAAAGGCUUACCUGGGUGUGGACCCUAUGAACUACAGUAAUGACUGGCCUGGCAAGAUGUGCCCAUGGGAGCAAUUGCCAUGCUCCAGUGGAUGGAUUCACACAUGAGCACACUUUAACACCAUAACACCAACUUGGGACUUAGAUAGAUAGAUGAUUGAUUGAUAGAUAGAUAGAUAGAUAGAUAGAUAGAUUAAUAAAUAGUAGGACAUGAAGUUGAGAGUGGGAUGGGGUCUGGGAAGAGUUAGAAGGCAGUAAACAGUAAAGUAGGGUAUAUGAUCCAAAAUGCACUGUUUUUAUUUUUGUAAAAUUCUUUUUUUUAAUUUUUUUCUCUUAUUUUUUUUAUUACAUAUUUUCCUCAAUUGCAUUUCCAAUGCUAUCCCAAAAGCCUCUCACACACUCCCCCCCACUCCUCUACCCACCCAUUCCCAUUUUUUGGCCCUGGCGUUCCCCUGUACUGGGGCAUAUAAAGUUUGCCUGUCCAGUGGGCCUCUCUUUCCAGUGAUGGCCGACUAGGCCAUCUUUUGAUACAUAUGCAGCUAGAGUCAAGAGCUCCGGGGUACUGAUUAGUUCAUAAUGUUGCACCUACAGGGUUGCAGAUCUCUUUAGCUCCUCCAUUGGGGGCCCUGUGAUCCAUCCAAUAGUUGACUGUGAGCAUCCACUUCUGUGUUUGUUAGGACCCGGCCUAGUCUCACAAGAGACGGCUAUAUUACGGUCCUUGCACCAAAUGCUUGCUAGUGUAUGCAAUGGUGUCAUCAUUUGGAGGCUAAUUAUGGGAUGGAUCCCUGGAUAUGGCAGUCUCUUGAUGGUCCAUCCUUUUGUCUCAGCUCCAAACUUUGUCUCUGUAACUCCUUCCAUGGGUGAUUGUUUCCAAUUCUAAGAAGGGACAAAGUGUCCACACUUUGGUCUUCGUUAUUCUUCAGUUUCAUGUGUUUUGCAAAUUGUACCUUAUAUCUCACUAUAUUAAGUUUCUGGGCUAAUAUCCACUUAUCAGUGAGUACAUAUUAUUUGAGUUCUUUUGUGAUUGUGUUACCUCACUCAGGGUGAUGCAAAAUUCUUAAAGAAUAAACUAAGGUGGACAGUGAGGAAGACACACAAUGUCUUUGGCUUCUAUGUAUAGGCACACACGUGUGUAACAGCAUAUGUGUGUGCACACACAUAGUCAUGCUUUCUUUUCAUGUGUCAGCCAGUGUAGAAAAAAAAAAAAACGACUCAGAAAGCGAAGCAAUCUAUUUCCAACCAUUCCCAU